ACAAAAAAUGCUAUAACGCAUUUGUAGCUUAACAACACUAAUGAAAAGGAACAAAAACAAAAAGCAUUGCUUAACGGCAAUUUUCAUUGUUAUUGUUCAUUUUCGCGAUCUCCAUUUGGUAAACUUUGCUCUUCCGAACUGAGUAUACGUUGAACUUGCAAAUAUUCUUUGCACAUACAAGACAGUCCAAUCGCAAUUUCGUUUAAGUAAUCGCAAGCCCGGCUCACUAAAUCCCCUCGUCUUUGAACUGCAAAUGAACGGUUUGUUCUGCGACACAAAAUCCAAGUAAGAUGAUCAGCCAUGUACCGGUUAUGGUUUUAGUACAGCUGAAUGUUCGUCGUUUGAGUUAAAAACGAACGGUAAACCUAGGAUUGAAAUUGCUUUCCAGCCGGAUUUCACUGUUACACGUAUUACGAAACCGUUUAUUUUACAACAUUUCAAUAGAUAACAUAAGAUAGAUUGCUUCUUCUGUGCGAUAAAACUUAACCACACAUCCCAAAAACGUUAAAAACACUGAAAUCAAUUUAACUGAACUGUGUGCUGCUUUGCUCCUAACAUCUAUCUAUAUGUGGACUUAUGAAAUGAACGAAGAAAAGAAAUUCUUUCAUGCAUAGCAUGGUUAUUUCCGUAUACCUUUUAUGCGCGCUAAUGCUCCCGAAAACACUAAGCGUGGUUUAUGGUACGCUCAUUUCGAUGGCCAAUGGAUAGCAAGACAAAUGGAUUACAUGCUGAUAAACCGCCUAUACUACUUACAGAAUGGAGCAGUUGAAUUUAAUCCGUUCCCUUUUGGUUAAAAAUUGGAAACAAUUUCAUUAAAAAUCUUCAAUACAAAUUUUACGACCACAAACGCUUUUUUUCAAUUUUUUCACAAAACUCGUAAGCAAACCUAUAAAAGUGAAUAUGGAUAUACAACAUGAAUAGGUUGAACUCUGAUAACUUUACGGCUCUCUCUACCCUUUAUGUCUUUAUACCUGACAUCAUUUGUUGUGUAGAUUGUAUUAAUUUUGUGCGAAUAUAUGUAACACACAGAAGAACUUAAGCAUAUUUGUCGGUCUGAGGUCUGUCCAUGUAGUGCCUACUGAUCGCAAUCUCAUCCUAUCGUCUUCACUUGAAAAAAGAGUUUGUAUGGAAAAAUAAAAAAUUUUCAACAGCUUUCAGCAAAAACCAGUAGGAAAUAAUAGACGUGGAAAAUUUGAAUCGGAUGAGAUAAUUCUUUUGCAAGCAUCAUAUAUAAAUUGAGCAAACUUAAUUAUACUCUACACCACUUGUGAUACAGGGUAUAUUAAGUUGUAUUAAGAUGUAUGCAACCCCAACUCCCAGAAGAAUUGAAAGUAGACUUGAAUUUGGAAAACGAAGGGAAUUCUAAAUCGAUCCAAAAGAAAACCUCCGGAUGCUUUAAUUGCUCUGCUGCGUCUCCCAUCCUGAAAAUCAAGCCAAAGCUGAUAACAAAUAUAGUUUCAAGACAUCGCACUCCACUGUGAGAACUUAGCAACUUGUCAGUAGAUGGUUGCACGCUUUUUUUACAAACAGCGAUAGAAACCAAGAUUGUUAAUUAAAAACUUCAUAUUCAUAAGUUAGACCGGCGUGUGCGAAAAUACUUACUAUUUUUCUUUCAAGAUCUGAAAAAUAGACUACAAGAAGAAUGAAGUAGAAUGCCUCUUUUCUAUACAAGAAAAAUUACACAAACAAAAUAUGUCAAAACGUUUAUAUGACAUAAGCAAAAGGUGUACCCCACCAAAUAUUAAUUAUUGAUAAUAUGCUCUUUUUCGUCUUCGUGUCCUUCCAAAUAUGAAAAGAAUUAUUAAUGACGCUACGUUUUUGGAGUUGCGGAAGUUAUUUAAUUUUCUAAUCUACUGAAACGAUGUCUCCUUCCUUUUUUUUUUUAAAUUCUAGUAUCUAUUCCCUAGUAGUAUAAAAUAGUAAAAACAAUUUUUAUGUUUGGACAAUGGACUAGGUUUAACAAACGGUUAUUUUUUGUCGAGUGGAAAAACCGACUAUUAAUAAGACGCGCUGUGGGUCUGAAAUAUUUUUGGAGAAACGACCAUUUAAAAUAACCGCUAAUGCGUUUAGCGCAAUAUCUGAGGGAUGCAUACAGUUACCUAAUAAAUAGGAAAAAUAUAUAUAGUAGAUUUUAGGAAGAAUAAAUAAAUAGAUAGAUAUACAGAAAAAUGAUAGUAAUUCUCCAAAACCUAAAGAAAAUCAUAAAAAUUAUAAAAAAAAGUAUUCACAUCAACAUACGAAAAUUCAACGGAUAAACCGACCAAAAAGUCGAAAUUAAACGUUCUAUUGCUUUUGCUCAUACAACAAUAAUAUAACAAUAAUAUUUACUUCACUACGUAUGGCGUGCAUCGUAUCAAAAACUGGAAUCCAUCCGGAAGGGACCGUACCUUUGCCAUGUGUAGCCCGACUAAAUAACUCUAAGCAAAGAGGAUUCAAACUAAUAUUUACUUUACCAAUGGCAUCAUUGGCGGAGUAGGUAAUGAGAGCACAAAGUCGGCCUGUAUAGCAUAUGACUUAUAUAUAUAACAUUUUUGUGUACUAGCGAAUACGAAUACUAGCGCAACAUCAAAGAAGGCAAAUUUAUUUAUAUUCAUAUGCAUUUCUAUUCCACAUAAUUCAAAUGUUUCUGUUGAAUGUUCAGUUGUUCAAACGAAUUCAUUAAUUGAAAUGCUAAUACAAUAUAUCACGCAAAAUAUUAUUCUCUUUACACCAAAAUAUUGUUAAGAUGUUAUAGAGAAAUUGAAAAAAUGAUAAAUUUAGAUAAAUAAAAUCAGUAGGUAAAAUGUAUACCGUAGAAACUAGGAAAAAAAAAUUUUUUUUUUUUUUGGUUGAACGGAGAUGGAUGAAAAAUAAUUAUAGUAUUAAUUUUUUGUUAGCAAAAUACACACGCAGAAAAAAUUGUCCCAAUUUAGGAAAAUAUGUCAAACCUACUUGUAAAGAAAAGUUUGCGUCAAAAUAUCAAAAAUCCAAAAUAAAUGUCAAACGCAAAAAAGCCAAAAAUAAAUAUUGUCUUGCUUACCUUGAUACUUUAAAUUGCUUAAGCAAACGUACGCACCAGCGUAAAAUAUAAAGAGAGAAAGCAUGCCAGUUGAAUUUGUAUGAAAAACACAAGUAAAAUAUAAAGAGAGAAAGCAUGCUACUGCACAUUUCUGCUACAACAUAUAUUUUACAUCUUCAUAGUGCACAGUUUACACAUACAUAGUGCACAAACCUCUAUAAAAGCGCUCAUUCUAGUUCUCUUAAUCUUUUAUUCUUUUUCCACCUUUCAUAUCAUACCGAAAACAUUACAUUUGUAAGCACAAAGGUCGGCACUAAGGUCGGCACAAAAUAGCGAAC
Molecule: long non-coding RNA, 3336 nt
Organism: Glossina fuscipes
Lineage: Eukaryota; Metazoa; Arthropoda; Insecta; Diptera; Glossinidae
Exons: 9
Source: RefSeq, a predicted model, not a curated record